GCUGAAGUCGGUCCCAAGGGUAUGGCUGUUCGCCAUUUAAAGUGGUACGCGAGCUGGGUUUAGAACGUCGUGAGACAGUUCGGUCCCUAUCUGCCGUGGACGUUGGAGACUUGAGAAGAGCUGCUCCUAGUACGAGAGGACCGGAGUGGACGAACCGCUGGUGUUUGGGUUGUCAUGCCAAUGGCAUUGCCCAGUAGCUACGUUCGGACAGGAUAACCGCUGAAAGCAUCUAAGCGGGAAGCCCCCUUCAAGAUUAGGUCUCCCUGAGAGCUUGACUCUCCUAAAGGACCCUUGAAGACUACAAGGUUGAUAGGUUGGGUGUGGAAGUGCAGCAAUGCAUUGAGCUAACCAAUACUAAUGAUCCGUGAGACUUGACUCUAUAACACCCAAG
RNAcentral lists this ribosomal RNA (391 nucleotides) under Candidatus Saccharimonadota bacterium. RNAcentral's name for it is "partial 23S ribosomal RNA". It matches the Rfam family "Bacterial large subunit ribosomal RNA", at positions 2552 to 2925 of the family's 2925-position model. Lineage: Bacteria; Candidatus Saccharimonadota. The record is from RNAcentral.